UAUAUCCUACAAGUUAUCCAUCUCGCUACCUAUCAAAGAUUUAUAAUUUUCCUUCUUGUUUCAUUCUCUUCGCCAAACAACACUCAUGAUUUUCAUCAACAUAACAUUGAGAUCAUCAUCACCAUUCUAAUAAUUUGAGAUUUCAAGAUCUAGCACUGAUUAAGAAGAGUCGUCAAGAGGUAGUAGUGACGAGAUAACAACUCUUAAGCAGCGGGAUUUGAGGUAUUAGACAUGGAAGUAUGUAUAGUGAGCAGGGUCAGUUCUGGUACGUAUACUGUGAGCGGCUACGGGCGGACAAACGAUCUAGAACGUCGGUGGUGCCUUAGUUUUAUUUUAAGCAGUUGAUAAAUCUAACACAGUGGAAAUGCAUUAUUUAAAAUUAUUUACUUACUGUAUCUUGUUUUACAAAUGAAGGAUCCUUCUCUGUUGCAUUUUGAUUUUUUUUAAAAUCCACUGUUGUAUUUAAAUUA
This is a long non-coding RNA of Cannabis sativa, 470 nucleotides long. RefSeq lists it as uncharacterized. The transcript is spliced from 2 exons. Lineage: Eukaryota; Viridiplantae; Streptophyta; Magnoliopsida; Rosales; Cannabaceae. The record is from RefSeq and is a predicted model, not a curated record.